GCCGUAAACAAUUAACUUACACCCAUCAGCGCCAGGGAAUUACGAGCAAUGCUUAAAACCCAAAGGAUUUGACGGUGUCCCAACCAGCUAGAGGAGCUUGUUCUAUAAUCGAUGAUCCCCGAUACACCCGACCAUUUUUAGCUUAUCAGUCUGUAUACCUCCGUCGAAAGCUUACCAUGUGAACGUUUCUCAGUAGGCUCAAUGAUUCAACACCCAUCAACACGUCAGGUCAAGGUGCAGCUUAAGAAAUGGGAAGCAAUUUGCUACAAUUUCUAAUUUAGAACAAACGAAAGGCUAUGUGAAAUCAUAACCACGAAGGUGGAUUUAGUAGUAAAAAGAAAAUAGAGUGUUCUUUUUAACCCGGCUCUGGGACGUGUACACACCGCCCGUCACCCUCUUCGAUAGUCCAUAAUACUGUCCCUAACCCUUUAUUACAUUUUAGAAGAGGCAAGUCGAAACAUGGUAAGUGUACUGGAAAGUGCACUUGGAAUAUA
This 494-nucleotide ribosomal RNA is filed under the name Lithobates forreri (Forrer's grass frog). Its description in RNAcentral is "Rana forreri (Forrer's grass frog) partial 12S ribosomal RNA". It matches the Rfam family "Bacterial small subunit ribosomal RNA", at positions 799 to 1533 of the family's 1533-position model. The record is from RNAcentral. Lineage: Eukaryota; Metazoa; Chordata; Amphibia; Anura; Ranidae.